AGUACAUGGCUACUCGUAGGAAUCUCUAUUAAAACGUUAAACCGUAGAAGAACCACGUUUUGGUCUCCGAUACUAAUGAUUCUACAGUUGUACUUCUGAUCUCCCUAACUUCGUAUUCUGGACUUUAUUUUUUAAUGUAUUCUAAUUAUUUAAGUUAGAUCUUAAUACUGGUAGGUAGAUAUUACUACAGUAUAUUGUAU
This is a non-coding RNA of Onthophagus taurus, 200 nucleotides long. The record is from RefSeq and is a predicted model, not a curated record. Lineage: Eukaryota; Metazoa; Arthropoda; Insecta; Coleoptera; Scarabaeidae.